RNAcentral lists this ribosomal RNA (397 nucleotides) under Acanthamoeba castellanii. Its description in RNAcentral is "SSU rRNA". It matches the Rfam family "Eukaryotic small subunit ribosomal RNA", at positions 781 to 1081 of the family's 1831-position model. The record is from RNAcentral. Lineage: Eukaryota; Discosea; Longamoebia; Acanthamoebidae.
CAUUUUCUGCCACCGAAUACAUUAGCAUGGGAUAAUGGAAUAGGACCCUGUCCUCCUAUUUUCAGUUGGUUUUGGCAGCGCGAGGACUAGGGUAAUGAUUAAUAGGGAUAGUUGGGGGCAUUAAUAUUUAAUUGUCAGAGGUGAAAUUCUUGGAUUUAUGAAAGAUUAACUUCUGCGAAAGCAUCUGCCAAGGAUGUUUUCAUUAAUCAAGAACGAAAGUUAGGGGAUCGAAGACGAUCAGAUACCGUCGUAGUCUUAACCAUAAACGAUGCCGACCAGCGAUUAGGAGACGUUGAAUACAAAACACCACCAUCGGCGCGGUCGUCCUUGGCGUCGGUCCUUCACGGGGCCGGCGCGAGGGCGGCUUAGCCCGGUGGCACCGGUGAAUGACUCCCCU